AUUGAACGCUGGCGGCAUGCCUUACACAUGCAAGUCGAACGGCAGCACGGGGCAACCUGGUGGCGAGUGGCGAACGGGUGAGUAAUGCAUCGGAACGUGCCAUUGAGUGGGGGAUAACGUAGCGAAAGUUGCGCUAAUACCGCAUAUUCUGUGAGCAGGAAAGCAGGGGACCGCAAGGCCUUGCGCUCUUUGAGCGGCCGAUGUCAGAUUAGCUAGUUGUGAGGUAACGGCUUACCAAGGCGACGAUCUGUAGCGGGUCUGAGAGGAUGAUCCGCCACACUGGAACUGAGACACGGUCCAGACUCCUACGGGAGGCAGCAGUGGGGAAUUUGGACCAAUGGGCGCAAGCCUGAUCCAGCCAUGCCGCGUGAGUGAAGAAGGCCUUC
This 386-nucleotide ribosomal RNA is filed under the name uncultured bacterium. Its description in RNAcentral is "bacterial SSU rRNA". It matches the Rfam family "Bacterial small subunit ribosomal RNA", at positions 30 to 419 of the family's 1533-position model. The record is from RNAcentral.